CUCUGGAGUCUUUUACUAUCUAUACAAAAGAAGUAGAUUAACAGUUAAGAAACUUGAAAAUGCUCCACACAUUAGUAUAGAUGGAAAACUCAAAGACCUUUUGAAAGUUACUCCUGGAGGCUGCUUACAGUAUGCUGUGGUUGAAGGUACGGUAAAACCAGUGGAUGAGCCUCUAAAC
Xiphophorus hellerii (green swordtail) is the source of this 178-nucleotide long non-coding RNA. RefSeq lists it as uncharacterized. The transcript has 3 exons. The record is from RefSeq and is a predicted model, not a curated record. NCBI's taxonomy places the organism in Eukaryota, Metazoa, Chordata, Actinopteri, Cyprinodontiformes, Poeciliidae.